This 260-nucleotide ribosomal RNA is filed under the name uncultured bacterium. RNAcentral describes it as "partial 16S ribosomal RNA". It matches the Rfam family "Bacterial small subunit ribosomal RNA", at positions 8 to 263 of the family's 1533-position model. The record is from RNAcentral.
AGAGUUUGAUCCUGGCUCAGGACGAACGCUGGCGGCGUGCCUAACACAUGCAAGUCGAGCGGAGACAGUGAGUAGCUUGCUAUGAGCUGUUUUAGCGGCGGACGGGUGAGUAACGCGUGAGCAACCUUUCCCAGACAGGGGAAUAACACACCGAAAGGUGUACUAAUACCGCAUAAGACCACGGAAUCACAUGGUUCUGAGGUAAAAGAUUUAUCGGUUUGGGGUGGGCUCGCGUCCGAUUAGGUAGUUGGUGAGUACGG